UCUAAGGAUGAAUGAAAGUAAAAUUUCAUUCUAAAUAAUAUACAUCGGUAAUGUUGACCGUCCUCAUUUCUCUUCUUAAAGUAAUGUUUCCUUCUUGUAGGGCCGGUAGCUCAGUUGGUUAGAGCACACCCUUGAUAAGGGUGGGGUCGAAAGUUCGAGUCUUUCUCGGCCCACCACACACUUAGCUGGGGGAUUAGCUCAGCUGGGAGAGCGCCUGAUUU
This 221-nucleotide transfer RNA is filed under the name uncultured marine bacterium. RNAcentral describes it as "partial contains 16S ribosomal RNA, 16S-23S ribosomal RNA intergenic spacer, and 23S ribosomal RNA". The stretch from base 100 to 173 matches the Rfam family "tRNA". The record is from RNAcentral.